This 280-nucleotide ribosomal RNA is filed under the name uncultured Prevotella sp. RNAcentral describes it as "partial 16S ribosomal RNA". It matches the Rfam family "Bacterial small subunit ribosomal RNA", at positions 397 to 674 of the family's 1533-position model. Lineage: Bacteria; Pseudomonadati; Bacteroidota; Bacteroidia; Bacteroidales; Prevotellaceae. The record is from RNAcentral.
UAGCGUGCAGGAUGACGGCCCUAUGGGUUGUAAACUGCUUUUAUAUGGGGAUAAAGUGGGGAACGUGUUCCCUUUUGCAGGUACCAUAUGAAUAAGGACCGGCUAAUUCCGUGCCAGCAGCCGCGGUAAUACGGAAGGUUCGGGCGUUAUCCGGAUUUAUUGGGUUUAAAGGGAGCGUAGGCCGUUUGGUAAGCGUGUUGUGAAAUGUAGGAGCUCAACUUCUAGAUUGCAGCGCGAACUGUCAGACUUGAGUGCGCACAACGUAGGCGGAAUUCAUGGU